UUUACGUAGUACGGAUUAAGGGAUAAACAAUAAAUGGAUAUUAAAAUGUCAUUUGGGUUCUUGUAGAUAUAUAAAAAGCAGUUUAUGUAGAAUCAAAUUCGGG
Molecule: long non-coding RNA, 103 nt
Organism: Leptinotarsa decemlineata (Colorado potato beetle)
Lineage: Eukaryota; Metazoa; Arthropoda; Insecta; Coleoptera; Chrysomelidae
Source: RefSeq, a predicted model, not a curated record